GGAAGUGUAGCUCAAUGGUAGAGCACUUUUCUAGCAUUGUGAAGACCUGGGUUCCAUUCCCAGCAAUGCAA
RNAcentral lists this transfer RNA (71 nucleotides) under Heterocephalus glaber (naked mole-rat). It matches the Rfam family "tRNA". From Rfam's summary of the family: Transfer RNA (tRNA) molecules are approximately 80 nucleotides in length. Their secondary structure includes four short double-helical elements and three loops (D, anti-codon, and T loops). Lineage: Eukaryota; Metazoa; Chordata; Mammalia; Rodentia; Bathyergidae. The record is from Rfam by way of RNAcentral.